RNAcentral lists this ribosomal RNA (432 nucleotides) under uncultured bacterium. RNAcentral's name for it is "partial 16S ribosomal RNA". It matches the Rfam family "Bacterial small subunit ribosomal RNA", at positions 29 to 506 of the family's 1533-position model. The record is from RNAcentral.
AACGAACGCUGGCGGCAUGCCUAACACAUGCAAGUCGAACGAGACCUUCGGGUCUAGUGGCGCACGGGUGCGUAACGCGUGGGAACCUGCCCUUAGGUUCGGAAUAACUCCCCGAAAGGGGUGCUAAUACCGGAUAAUGUCUUCGGACCAAAGAUUUAUCGCCUUUGGAUGGGCCCGCGUUGGAUUAGCUAGUUGGUAGGGUAAAAGCCUACCAAGGCGACGAUCCAUAGCUGGUCUGAGAGGAUGAUCAGCCACACUGGGACUGAGACACGGCCCAGACUCCUACGGGAGGCAGCAGUGGGGAAUAUUGGACAAUGGGCGAAAGCAUGAUCCAGCAAUGCCGCGUGAGUGAUGAAGGCCUUAGGGUUGUAAAGCUCUUUUACCCGGGAUGAUAAUGACAGUACCGGGAGAAUAAGCUCCGGCAAACUCCGU